CCCCUCUCAGGGUCACCCCUGGAGAGUUUCCUGUACUCUACCAGUCUCAACUAUGAGAGGGAGAGUUAAGCAGAGGCCUGUCCUUUCCAUUCCUAGCUCGGGCAGUGGUUAGCAAGUGGAAGGCAAUCUGCUACAAGU
RNAcentral lists this small nucleolar RNA (138 nucleotides) under Ornithorhynchus anatinus (platypus). Lineage: Eukaryota; Metazoa; Chordata; Mammalia; Monotremata; Ornithorhynchidae. The record is from RNAcentral.